AUUGAACGCUGGCGGCGUGCCUAACACAUGCAAGUCGAGCGGCAACAGGUGUAGCAAUACAUGCUGACGAGCGGCGAACGGGUGAGUAAUGCUUCGGAAUCUACCUUAUGGUGGGGAAUAACUAGCCGAAAGGUUAGCUAAUACCGCAUACGUCCUACGGGAGAAAGCAGGGGAUCGCAAGACCUUGCGCCAAAAGAUGAGCCGAAGUCGGAUUAGCUAGUUGGUAGGGUAACGGCCUACCAAGGCGACGAUCCGUAGCUGGUCUGAGAGGACGACCAGCCACACUGGGACUGAGAACCGGCCCAGACUCCUACGGGAGGCAGCAGUGGGGAAUAUUGGACAAUGGGGGAAACCCUGAUCCAGCGACGCCGCGUGUGUGAAGAAGGCCUGCGGGUUGUAAAGCACUUUUAGUGGGGAUGAAAUGUGCAGGGUUAAUACCUCUGCAUUUUGACCUAACCCACAGAAAAAGCACCGGCUAACUCUGUGCCAGCCGCCGCCGUAA
This 502-nucleotide ribosomal RNA is filed under the name uncultured bacterium. RNAcentral describes it as "partial 16S ribosomal RNA". It matches the Rfam family "Bacterial small subunit ribosomal RNA", at positions 30 to 523 of the family's 1533-position model. The record is from RNAcentral.